This is a long non-coding RNA of Dromaius novaehollandiae (emu), 8345 nucleotides long. RefSeq lists it as uncharacterized. The transcript has 2 exons. Lineage: Eukaryota; Metazoa; Chordata; Aves; Casuariiformes; Dromaiidae. The record is from RefSeq and is a predicted model, not a curated record.
GGGCUUGAGGGACCGGGGGGAGGUGGCGGGAGAGCUCUGGGUGAUGGGACAGCGGGUGACGAGCUGGGUGCAGACAGCAGCGACAGCCUCGCUUGGGCCUCGUCCUGGAGACCAUCCGUGCCAGGCGACUCUUCCCCCGUCGUCCACUCCGGAGCGCCCGGCUCUCCUGGAGGUGUCUUUGGCGCUCCAAAGCGGCUGGUUUUCCCUAAAAACUGGGAAUUUUAACUUACAGUCGGGCCGUACAUGGAGCUUGUAGCGUCAACCGGCAGUUUGCAGGAUGCGUGAAGUCGGUGCGCACCGCGGGGUGAUGUUUGUCGCUCCGUGAGAAGGAAGUCGCCCCACCUAAGCGCGCGGCUAGUGGGGCUGAGUCGCUCUGUCGUUCCCCUCCGUCCUAGGAGCGUUUGGCAGCGGCUUCUGGCAGACCCCCUGUUCGCGUGUGGGGCGGCCGAGGUCGCUUUGCAAACGCCGUGUCUCUGUAGGGAUCGCUUCUCGAAGCGAGGCGUGGAAAAGCUUAAUGUGCCGCUCUGUUUCUGGGGAAACAGCUUUAGUGGAGAACGGUGUGUAAUUCAUAACACUUUGAAGGGAAAACUGCUAAAAAAUUUGAGACUUAAGUUUCUUGUGGUUGUUGUGGUAAACCCUAUAUUCCAGCUGGUCUGGUCACUGAAAAGAGAAUUUUUUUUUUUUAACUUAAAGCUGAAACUUUCUUUCGCUUUGCUGGUAGAAUUUGGGCUUGGCAACCUGUGUUUACAUGUGCUUUGUAUUUUCAAAGGAAAGAAACCUGCAACUUGCACCCGCAGAAAGCAUCCGUGGCAGAUGCAGCUCCAAAACGAGCAUUAGAGCUACUUGUCGUACAGGCCAAAAGCCCCAAAAUACAUCUUAGCUUUCCACUGGAAUCGGUGAGAUUUAGAUUAGCUGUGCGGAUCUUAGCUAAUGCUUUGGUUGGAUCACAGCAUAGUUCAUUUUUGAUUUCUCAGCUCAGAAACUGUAGGAUUUUGAUUGGCUGGAUAAGAGUAACCACACGGAGAAAGAGUAGAAAGUGAAGCUAAACUUUGGAAAGAAUCUGGCUUACUGAUCGUGCAUGAGUGCCACGAAACACUCCAGUUUUUGUUAGUAUUUAUUUGCUGUGCUGAACAGUUGGAGCUCAGCUGCGAUGUACAGGAUAUUCAGAGCUUAGCCAGCUGUCUUUCAGCUUCUUCUCCCUCUUUCUGCUCUUCUUCCUUAGUCCAGAAGCUUUAAUUCCGUCUGGAAUUGGAAUUAAGCAGAGUAAUUCCAGCACGGUUAUCUUAUUUUGUUGGGUGUUGUUGUCGUAGCACCCCCAGAAGCAGAAAAGAGAAUAAAGUACAAAUGAUCUUAUUUUAUGCUGCAUUUGCACUCUGUGUUCACGAAGCAAUUUCUAAGCCCGCGUUCUAGAAAGAGGUUGGUGAGAAAGCUGGGCGAGGAACCGUCCUAUACUUCUUACGCUGAAGUUAUUUAGAUUACAGUCUGCUGGGAGAAGAGGAAAGUUUGUAUGCUGGUUAAUUACUUACCAGGUAAUUGAAGCUAUUUAAGAUAUCAGGAAAUCAAGGUAGGCAAGAAACAAAAUAAAAUAAUAAAAAAACCAAGGUUGGUCGUUAGGUUGGGCUCUGCGUGUUUGUGUGUUGCAGGUGAUGUUGGAGUAGGAUCACAAAGCCUGAGAAGAUGAAAUGAGAAAGGCUUGAAGUGUGGUUUGAUGUUGUGACAAAGCUGAUUUGAGAGGUUCCUGUCGCCUUCAGUUCUUGGCUGCUCUUUCCUGCCCUUCAGCUUCGCUUCUCUAUCCCAUCAGUACGGAAUAACAUAUACAGAACGACGGCUUCUCACCUCGUAUUUGUGACACAGCUGCAAGUGCCGGGGUGCAGCACGUGCACUGUUGCAGCUCGUGGUGGUGGCAAAAAGCUGUGCUGGAGGUGAGCUUGCUGCGCUGUCUUUUGCAGGAAGGCGAAGGUUGUUUAGCUGGUGUCUUUGGCAGCUUUGCAGCAAUUCCUCAUUAAUGUGCUUAAGCCAAGGCUUUGCUGCCGGCCUUCUUCACGGUGUGUGUGCGUCUGUACAUGUUUAUCUGGUUUUAGCCGUCUUUCUGGUUUUCCAGCACCUCCUGUGUGUUUGUCAUCGUUUGUCCCUUGCCUGUAUUUGUGAAAUGGAUUUCAGCCUGCUGUAACUGGUUUAUGCGCCUUUGGUUUGUCAGGGACUCGUGCUUUAGGCUGUUUAUCCAAAUUCUUUUUCUCCCCUAUACAGUCUUGUCUGUUUUAACUUCUGUAGGAAGCGCUGCUUACUCCUGUCGCACCAGAAACCUACGUCUUUCUCUUUGGAAUCAGCUUAUGCACAUUUUGCUUAACUUUCAGAUAACCUUUCCUGAUGCAUUUUGCAUAGAAACCUGUCUUCCACGACUGGUUUUAUUGCCUUUCCCUUGCUUUGGUGUAUUCCUUAAAAUCGAAAGUAAAAACGUAGAUAUUUAUUUCCUCUAGGUUAUUUUAUUAGCAUUCUUUGUAGGGGAGAAUAGUCGAACGCUAAGUCUGUAACUAGAGCCUUCAAUUACCUUUAGUUACGAAAAUAGAAGCAUGCUGAGCAACUACCUUUCCGGUCUUUCCAGUUGACAUAAUAAUAAACCACACACACAAUAUCCAGUAAAAUCAGCUCACUAAUCCUCAAAACUUUAAAUAUGCCCCUGGGCAUGCAUAGUUGAGAAUUUUGAGCUAAUCUUAAAUAAGAUACAGACCUCGUAUAUCAUGGCUUCAUUUGAAGCAGAAACAUCCCAAUAGGGUACUUCUAAUAACCCGAGGGACAGCGAGUUUAAUAGACUAAUCACAGGACCGAGAAAGUCAUUCCUGAGUUAAUUCUGGCCGUCUCAGUGGUUUGCCAUUUCAUUUUGAGCUAGUCACAGUGGCUUUUAUAAUUUACUGCUUGAUUGUAGGUUUGACCUUCCCCCUCCACCCCCAGCCUUAAAUUAAUUUUUUUUUUUUGAAGUAGGCCAUGAAUCGCAAAGUAACUCUGAUGUUUUCAUUCUGCCUGAGGCAAUUUAAAGGAGAAGAAAGCAAUUAAAUGUUUUCAGGAUAUAUCCAGCCUUUUCCUGAGUGGCUUUUAAUGUUCUUGUGUAUGUAUCUUUUUAAAUUUAAUAGAAAAAGUUUUUUGCCCUUCCCCCCCCCCUCGACUUUAUUGGCUGUUUCCAAGCUGCUCGGAUAUUUCUGGCAAAAUAUUGAGCUUGUACUUUGAGAAUAUAAUUUGGAGCAGAUACUAAAACAGCUGCAAAGAAGAUGAAACAUGAAAAGCACUUUUCAGAGACUUAAAACAUUUUCUAAAUGUCCAAUAAGUGAAAGUAGAAGCUAGCCUAUGCUGUAUACAGUAUAUAUUGCGUGCAAAGUUAGGGAUUCUCUGAAGACCCUGAUAGCUAAUCUAACUUGACUACAUUAAUUUAUGCAAAUUGACAUCAUAUAUUAAAUUAUGCAAAUUGCUUCCCUAUCCAGAGCUGGAAUGCCACAUUAAAAAAGGAGUAGUAGUUACAGGCUAAAGCAUCUUUAAAUGCUUAGAUUUGCAUAUAAAAUACUGCACGUUGUUUGAUUAAGGUUUGGAUCGUGAUUGCUUUAUUCCCUCAUUUUUAAGACAUGGAGAAAAUGAAGGGAAAGCACACUAAAAGAAAAUACAGAAAAACCUAUCUCUGUGCACAUAGUUUGUGCUUAAUUAUAGUUUAAGUUUUGAUGGGAAGACUGAAUCCCUCAUAAGUGUCGUUGAUGUGCUGGCAAACAUAAUGUUGGUUUCAUCUUAAAUGGGAAUGGUGGAGGCACAAAGUGUCUGAAGUCUAUAAAUUUUAUUUCCUGCUAUUAAAAAUGCCUGAUUAGAUGGACCUGGUGCUGAACAGCAAGUUGAAAUGCCAGGUUUUCUUCUUGCCCAUGUGCGGUCCAGUCUGGACCAAGAAGUACCAGAAUAGUGAAGGACUUGAUUGCAUGUGCCCAGAAAGAAAUUUUGCCAAGUGAAAGCCAGUUUUCACUAGAAUACUCCAAAGACUCCUCUCCUUAGAGAACUGCUUUCCCAAAAUAUUUCAGUGUUGAUCCGUAGCUAUUUUGGUAGAAGAGCUGUUCAAAGAAAACCCAUUUUUAACCUGUUCCAAAAACAGCUGAAGCCGAGCUAUCUUGGCUUGAACUCCCGGAAGAAAAUCUUUAACCCAUUUCUGGGAAACCUUUGGAAUGUCAACCAGAGAGGGCAAAGUUGUCAAAACUUAUAAAUGAUGAAAUGACCUUAGGGUGGCAAAGCUUAGGCUCCCUUUAGAGUAGGUAUUACUAAUGCUCCAACAAGAAUAAUAUUGCAUAUAAAAGAUUGCUUGGAUGUUUGGAAAAUGAUGUGAGGAUUUUUUAAGUGUUCUAAAGAAAUGCUUCUCACUGGGUACCGUAGACUUCAUGUUUUCCAGGAUUAUGCAAGCUGGUUUUGGAGAAAAAAAAAAUCAUCUUGUAUUUUAUCAUCUUUGUCUGUCAUCAUCGACCGGUAUUUGAGUUUCAGAAGACUGGAGUAGGAAUGCUCCUCGCAGAAGAGUUUCUGUGUGUAUGUGUUUGCUCAUUUGUUGGGUUUUUUUCUUUUUUCCUGGAAUCUGUAGUACCCAUUAGUGUCGGACACAGUGUGCUACUAUACUGUACAAACAUGGGUUUGCAUGGUUGGCCCCGAGCUGCUGUGACCUCAGGGAAGGCAGCUGUGGCCUUAUUCCCUGUCCACAACAUAACUUGUUUUGUCAGGACCGGAGAAUCGGUCAGUGAUGAGUGGGGGCCUGAGAAAAGCUUUUGUAUUUGAUGGUUUCUGUUUUUCUUUUUUUUGCAAAGAGGGCAGAUUGGCUUCAUUUACUUUAAGCUGAAGUACAUGAGACUUUAGCAUGGGCAGCAAAAUAUUUAGAGAUAUUAACAUUUUUCUAUAGCAGGUAUUAAGUUUACAGACUGAGGGCUGUCCUGCCUUGAAGAAUUUUUUUUGCACGUGUUGCAAAAAUGUAUUUUUGCAAAAGUUUGCACGCGUAUGCUGCAAGUUUUUGUAUUUUAAAUAUGAAGUCUUGCCAAAAUAUCUCUUAACUACUGCUUAAAAACCUGCUUCUGUUACUGUUGUUUCAGAUGGACUCUUGAUUGUUCGGUAGCCGGUUUCCUUUUCCUGAAGCUUUUGUGUCCUUUGGGUAAUCGAUCUUUCGAUCUAGACCUAACUUUCCUGUUCCUCUAGGUCAGAAAUCCCUUGACUGUGUUUUAUUUAGUGGCUUUUGGUUUGAGGUAGUUCCAAAUGUGUUGGGGUAAAUCUGCAAAGGCAAAUGUUUCUCUGCAAAGGGGGCAAAAUUUUGGAUGUUACGUUAAGCAGGAGAGAUGCAAGUGGGCACUGUGGGUUGCUACUCGAGGGCUACGUGUAGAGGUUCUGCUUUUGCUUCUGUGUACGAACACAAGGUGCAACUUCUACGGGAGAACAUGGAUGCGGUCCUGGAGAAGGAGGGGAUUUUUGGGAAUAGCUUGAAGUGAAACAAAGACUGAACGUGGAAGGUCCUGCAGUUAAUCUUCCUGCACUCUUCACACAUCUCCUCUCCUUUAAAUUACAUAUCUUUUAUUUCUUGUUCUGGCAAAAACUGUCUCUAAAACUGUUUUGUUGUAUAGCUGAUGGUUUGGUGUUAAAAUUGUACGUACUUUUGGGAAUGGAAGAGCAAAACAGUUCUGCCGUGUUCUUGCUACAGAAAGAUCACUUCCGUAUGAGAUGCUGGGGCCUUUUAUCAUAUGGCUUUUUGCUCUCAAGUCCCCAAACGUGAGGGAUUUCACAUUAACUAAAAAUACUCGUAUAUUCUUAGUUUCUCUGUAAACUGGUACAGCUAAUUUGCUCCACUCAACACUUAUAUUGGUAAAUAAGAGUAAAAUUUCUUUUCCCAAAUCCGAUUUGAGAUGAAUUAAACCAGAAUCAAACACUCUGUUACAGCAUUCAUGGACGUUUUCCCUCUGGAGUUAUUAAAAAUGUUUUUUUUGCCUGCUGACUGCUGUGUGUAGAUAAGGAUUUACUUUAAAGGAAGGUUUUUAGCAAAGACACACAUCUUCCUCUAUUUGGUUAGCAAGAAAACUGUAUUUAGCAAUAGGCUCUCCUGAAAUGAGAUGACCUGUAAUGAUUCAUAAACUGAUGAGUUUCGUUUGCCUUGCCUUACUGUUAUGCAGCUUCGCCCUGUUUGGCGUGCCACUUCUAUUCAUGUGCAUUUGGCAUGAUUUGGACAGAUGGUUUUAUUUUCUUUUGCGGUUGUUACCUAGUUCUGAACAGCGCUGGUGUGGUUUGGGUGCCCAGAGGAAACCGGGGGGAGUUGCAUGUAAGAGAAAGCAGAGGAAAGAAGGGAAGAUCUUUCUGAAUCCUUGCUGAAGCUGGAGAUUGCUCCCAUGUGUAACGUGCUAUGAAAGUGGACCCUUGCGUAAGCAAAAAUGGGAUUAUUCAUUGACUUGGAUUUUGGAAAAGACAGUGCAAGAGGUGACAGAUUGGGCUGUCUUGCAUUUAAUCUCUGCUGCCGGCAUCUCCUGCAGUUUGUUUGCAAACUUUGGCAAAUGUAUAGUACUGGUAAAUAAAUAGUAGAUAUCUGGAAACCUUUUUACACUUUCAAAUAAAUCGGGAGCCCUGAAAAUGCUCUGAUGCCUGGAAUGUCCUGCUUUAGGAAGCAUUCAGUCUUCCCUUGCUAUUGUGGUAUGUCUUUGUAGUCGGUGUUUUCUCAAGCAGUGAUUGUACCUGAAUUAAUAAGCUCUCCCAAAGCAGCAGUGCUGGUGGCAAGGUGUAAAUUUAUCCAAGGUGCUCCAGGGUUCAGGAUGUUUAACACUGGCAUCAAACUAAUGAGCUCCUGGUGGACUUGAGCUAAUUUGGUUAGCUCAGUCAACACUAUAGACUUAGAAACACGGUGUGGAGGUGGCUGAGUGGACUUCUCAAGGAGGUGGCUCCAGCCAGGUGGAGCGUGGUGUGUUAAGCCGUGUGCCGUGGUAGCACAGCCGAACUUCUUCCAGACCUGAGCAGACAGAAAAUAGAUAAACUGCUGUUGAUGCGGAGCUUCUACCCAGCUGGACCUGCAAUUUUCUUUGUUUUGCACAGACUUGGCUUAAGAAACUUGCACCCAGGACAUGCCCGGGCCUAACAAGUUACUUAAUGCUGGCCACAAGUGACUUUGGGCUGAGAAGAUCUUAGUUGUAAAUCAGAUCUCUGCCAUGGAGAUGCCUUUUAAUUUGCGCUGUGGAAAUCAAUGGCAGUAGGUAAUAUCGUUGGCAAAAGCAGACAAGUAGGUUUUUGAGCUUGGGAUGGCAUUUUUGAUUGCAACUUGGAGACUGAAUUAGGGAGACCGUGUUGGGUGAUGCAGAAUGAAAUUAAGGUGGAAGUGAGAGAGGCCGUUCCAGACCUGUUUGACGCUAACAAAAGCCCCGUUUGCUUCACUAAGAUUAAAUUUUGUUUUAUUACUGUUCUUGGAUUCCGUACAGGUGUGAUUAGUGUGAGUCUGGGUCUCUGAGAGAAAAAUGCCUAACUGGAGUUAAUUAAAUUAAAAGUCAUGAUCACGUGCUUACCCGAUCUCUGGAUAUUAGUGCUGCAUCUCUUGCUUUUUAUGUGCAUUAUUCUUUUCUUUGGAAACAGCUUCAAGUUGAAGCCCACUUGUGGAAAACUCAUUCCUUGCUUGCCCCACGCGCUCAUGCGUGCUUUGGCUCCUUACGCUGUUCAAAUUGGACUGUCCAUGAGGUCAACAAAUGGAUUUACUAUAAUGUUGAGAUUUAAAAUGUUUUAAUAACGUGUUGAUUUGUCCAAGACUGGAAAGCAAGUGUGCUUGUGAGCGUUUUCUCCAAGGGAUGAUGUUGAUGAUUUUUUCUUCUUCUUGCUUUUUAGAAGUGCCCUGGAAAAGUGUCUUGAAGUCAGGCAGCGAGAACAGAUGAGAUGCCAGAGUGGCACAACCCCUUCUCCCUUAGGGUGAGAGAGCCAAAGCUGAGCCUCUGGCAUUACUGGCAAAGUCUGGAGAGUACAGGUUUUUUCUUCUUCUUUACUGGGAGGUCCGUGACAUUGUUAUCUUGAGGUCUUGGAAAUGUCAGAACAGCAGAUUCCUUUGGAGACAAGAAUAUGACAGACCUUGUUCCUAGAGGGCAUCUGAGCAGACAUCCAGUGGUCAGAGCCCAGCACUCAAUUUUCAGUACAAAUAUGGAAUAUUGUCUCGGUGAUUUGGAGCUUAAGGGCUUCGAGUACGCUCUCACAAGCUCAGGAUGAGCAAACCAGAUUGCUUAUCGCCAUUGAAAGGGCAAGUCCCGUUCCCACUUCUCCAUAUCCUACCUGUUUCUGAUAGCUCUGUGAGCUCAUUUAACUUGCUGGAGUGGUUUUCUGCCAUUUUAGCACAAAAA